RNAcentral lists this ribosomal RNA (468 nucleotides) under uncultured bacterium. Its description in RNAcentral is "partial 16S ribosomal RNA". It matches the Rfam family "Bacterial small subunit ribosomal RNA", at positions 28 to 507 of the family's 1533-position model. The record is from RNAcentral.
GACGAACGCUGGCGGCGUGCUUAACACAUGCAAGUCGAACGGAAAGGCCCUGCUUUUGUGGGGUGCUCGAGUGGCGAACGGGUGAGUAACACGUGAGUAACCUGCCCUUGACUUUGGGAUAACUUCAGGAAACUGGGGCUAAUACCGGAUAGGAGCUCCUGCUGCAUGGUGGGGGUUGGAAAGUUUCGGCGGUUGGGGAUGGACUGGCGGCUUAUCAGCUUGUUGGUGGGGUAGUGGCUUACCAAGGCUUUGACGGGUAGCCGGCCUGAGAGGGUGACCGGCCACAUUGGGACUGAGAUACGGCCCAGAGUCCUACGGGAGACAGCAGGGGGGAAUAUUGCACAAUGGGCGGAAGCCUGAGGAAGCAACGCCGCGUGUGGGAUGACGGCCUUCGGGUUGUAAACCGCUUUAGCCUGUGACGAAGCGUGAGUGACGGUAAUGGGUGAAGAAGCACCGGCUAACUACGUG